This 370-nucleotide ribosomal RNA is filed under the name uncultured organism. RNAcentral's name for it is "bacterial SSU rRNA". It matches the Rfam family "Bacterial small subunit ribosomal RNA", at positions 526 to 896 of the family's 1533-position model. The record is from RNAcentral.
CGAGAGGCCCAAACGUUAUUCGGAAUUACUGGGCUUAAAGAGUUCGUAGGCGGCAUUGCAAGUAGGGUGUGAAAGCCCUCGGCUCAACCGAGGAAUUGCGCUCUAAACUGCAGUGCUUGAGGAACCUAGAGGUGAGCAGAACAGAUGGUGGAGCGGUGAAAUGCGUUGAUAUCAUCUGGAAUACCGGAGGCGAAGGCGGCUCACUGGGAGUUUUCUGACGCUGAGGAACGAAAGCCAGGGUAGCGAACGGGAUUAGAUACCCCGGUAGUCCUGGCCGUAAACGAUGAGCACUAGGCCGGAGCCCUGCACAGGGUUUCGGCCGUAGCUAAAGUGUUAAGUGCUCCGCCUGGGGAGUAUGGUCGCAAGGCUG